Long non-coding RNA from Temnothorax curvispinosus, 531 nucleotides. RefSeq lists it as uncharacterized. The transcript is spliced from 3 exons. Lineage: Eukaryota; Metazoa; Arthropoda; Insecta; Hymenoptera; Formicidae. The record is from RefSeq and is a predicted model, not a curated record.
GUUGGAAACUUAUCAAAAGGAAAGAACAUUGAUAAGGGACAACAUGAUGAUCCUCCUAUUUUUCCAAAUUCUUCGUUAAUACAGAUAUGGCCUGAAGGAACAAACAUAGAGGCACAAGCUCGUAAGCUGAGGAAUGUUUAAUUUUUAAUUGACUUCAUUCUGUAAACAUUUUGUACGUAACAAUUACAUUGUUGAAUAAAAAAUUAUAACAUGUAUUAAGGUUAUUACUUUUUGUUACUGUUUGCUGGGACAUUUACUGAUUUAAUCAGCUUGCAUUACUGAUUUUGCUGUUCAAAGUCACUGUUUUAGUAGUAUAAUAUUACUGAUUAAAAUAGUCAAUAUUACUGAUUUAAUCAGCUCACAUUACUGAUUUUGCUGUUUUAAGUCACUGUUUCUAGUAGUCCAAUAUUACUGAUUGAAACAGAUAUUAAUAACUAAUUCUUUCAGUGAAAUGUCACUGAUUCUAAGUGGUAUACUUAUAACUGCUUCAAUCAGUGACUAUUUACUGUUUCUCAGUAAAAAUACACUGAU